Molecule: microRNA, 22 nt
Filed under: Pan troglodytes (chimpanzee)
Lineage: Eukaryota; Metazoa; Chordata; Mammalia; Primates; Hominidae
Also listed under: 1 other name
Description: ptr-miR-320e
Gene: ptr-miR-320e
Source: miRBase by way of RNAcentral
AAAAGCUGGGUUGAGAAGGUGA